This 127-nucleotide small nuclear RNA is filed under the name Suricata suricatta (meerkat). RNAcentral describes it as "U4 spliceosomal RNA (ENSSSUG00005000124.1)". The stretch from base 1 to 75 matches the Rfam family "U4 spliceosomal RNA". Rfam says of the family: U4 small nuclear RNA (U4 snRNA) is a component of the major U2-dependent spliceosome. Lineage: Eukaryota; Metazoa; Chordata; Mammalia; Carnivora; Herpestidae. The record is from RNAcentral.
AGCUUUGCGCAGUGGCAGUAUCAUAGCCAAUGAAGUUUAUCUGAGGCGCAAUUAUUGCUAAUUAAAACUGAAAAAGCUAGGGUGCCUGGGUGGCUCAGACGGUUGAGCUUCUGAGUCUUGAUUUCAC